GGGAGGCAAAAGCUGAUCUCUACCUCCCCGAGGUGCCUCCUGGGCAACUGCUCCUAUGGAGCAGGCUAACAGAGACAG
RNAcentral lists this ribozyme (78 nucleotides) under Rhodnius prolixus. Its description in RNAcentral is "drz-agam-1 ribozyme". It matches the Rfam family "drz-agam-1 ribozyme". The record is from Rfam by way of RNAcentral. Lineage: Eukaryota; Metazoa; Arthropoda; Insecta; Hemiptera; Reduviidae.